GUCCACGCAGUAAACGAUGGGUGCUAGGUGUGGGAGGUGUCGACUCCUUCCGUGCCGUAGCUAACGCAUUAAGCACCCCGCCUGGGAGUACGGCCGCAAGGCUAAACUCAAGGAAUUGACGGGCCCCGCACAAGCAGCGGAGCAUGUGGUUUAAUUCGAUGCAACGCGAAGAACCUUACCAGGGCUUGACAUGCACUGGAAACCGUAGAAAUACGGUCCUCCUUCGGGGACCAGUGCACAGGUGGUGCAUGGCUGUCGU
RNAcentral lists this ribosomal RNA (259 nucleotides) under uncultured bacterium. RNAcentral describes it as "partial 16S ribosomal RNA". It matches the Rfam family "Bacterial small subunit ribosomal RNA", at positions 793 to 1055 of the family's 1533-position model. The record is from RNAcentral.